GAUGAACGCUGGCGGCGUGCCUAAUACAUGCAAGUCGAGCGAACAGACGAGGAGCUUGCUCCUCUGACGUUAGCGGCGGACGGGUGAGUAACACGUGGAUAACCUACCUAUAAGACUGGGAUAACUUCGGGAAACCGGAGCUAAUACCGGAUAAUAUAUUGAACCGCAUGGUUCAAUAGUGAAAGACGGUUUUGCUGUCACUUAUAGAUGGAUCCACGCCGCAUUAGCUAGUUGGUAAGGUAACGGCUUACCAAGGCGACGAUGCGUAGCCGACCUGAGAGGGUGAUCGGCCACACUGGAACUGAGACACGGUCCAGACUCCUACGGGAGGCAGCAGUAGGGAAUCUUCCGCAAUGGGCGAAAACCUGACGGAGCAACGCCGCGUGAGUGAUGAAGGUCUUCGGAUCGUAAAACUCUGUUAUUAGGGAAGAACAAAUGUGUAAGUAACUAUGCACGUCUUGACGGUACCUAAUCAGAAAGCCACGGCUAACUACGUG
RNAcentral lists this ribosomal RNA (497 nucleotides) under uncultured bacterium. RNAcentral's name for it is "partial 16S ribosomal RNA". It matches the Rfam family "Bacterial small subunit ribosomal RNA", at positions 28 to 507 of the family's 1533-position model. The record is from RNAcentral.